Molecule: ribosomal RNA, 253 nt
Filed under: uncultured bacterium
Lineage: Bacteria
Description: partial 16S ribosomal RNA
Rfam family: Bacterial small subunit ribosomal RNA
Source: RNAcentral
GACGUAGGGGGCCAGCGUUGUUCGGAAUUACUGGGUGUAAAGGGUUCGUAGGCGGUGUAGCAAGUCGGGAGUGAAAUCUCUGGGCUUAACCCAGAGGCUGCUUCCGAAACUGCUGUGCUUGAGUGUGGGAGAGGCGCGUGGAAUUGCAGGUGUAGCGGUGAAAUGCGUAGAUAUCUGCAGGAACACCCGUGGCGAAAGCGGCGCGCUGGACCACUACUGACGCUGAGGAACGAAAGCUAGGGGAGCAAACAGG